ACAACCCCAAUCGUCUGCCGCACCUCCCUUUCUUUGUUCUCUUUCUCUUGAGUUUUUCUUCUGCAACAGAAAUCACUGAGCCAUAACUUUGCUCUGCUAUUCAAUCCAGUUACCAAACAUAUGGUUCUUCUCUCUAUCAAUUGAGCCAAUUUGGCGUUAGGUUUGAUUUGGGGGUUUCUAAAUUGAAGUAUGAACUGAAAAGGAUUUAGGGUUUAUUCGACUGAGAAUACAAAAAGGAAAGAAGACUGUUGAUGGUGUUAUGGGUCUGUAAUUUAGGUUCAAUUUGAAGUUAUGGCUAAGAGGGAUUGAAACUGAGAUGCUGAAAACCUAAAACCACUUCCGCCAUCUCUUUUCUCCAUAUCCUAAUUCCGUUAUCUUCUUCUCGGUGGUAAGUUGAGUUCUUCUUCUUCGGCUCAUUUUAUGGAACUACAACUCUGUGUUGGGUGUCAGUUUAGAAAGGACUGGAUGAAAGCGGUAUUUCUGGACAUGAUGCUUACAUUUUGAAGCGAAUUAAAUUGUUGCCAUCUUUGUUAAGGGUGUUUAAUGGUUGUAACUUUAUGUAAGGGAAUGACUCAGAUUCAUGAAGUUGGUGAAUCCCAAGUCUUGCAGUGUACCAAGUGUUGAAGUGUUAUCUACUUUCAAAAAGAAAUUUGCAGUGUACCAACCUUUAAUAGAUUUAUGUAUACUAUUUAAAUAAAACUUACAUGUGUAAAAUUUGUAUUCGGCAUUCUGUCCAUCCUUGCACCUCACCUGGUGCGUUGCAUGGUGGGCUUACUCUUACUGUUAAUUUUUAUGUUUUGGAGCAACAUAAGCUUUUUGUGUGUA
Molecule: long non-coding RNA, 825 nt
Organism: Papaver somniferum (opium poppy)
Lineage: Eukaryota; Viridiplantae; Streptophyta; Magnoliopsida; Ranunculales; Papaveraceae
Exons: 3
Source: RefSeq, a predicted model, not a curated record